RNAcentral lists this long non-coding RNA (500 nucleotides) under Calidris pugnax (ruff). Its description in RNAcentral is "lncRNA (ENSCPUG00000019452.1)". Lineage: Eukaryota; Metazoa; Chordata; Aves; Charadriiformes; Scolopacidae. The record is from RNAcentral.
CUCUUCUCUCCCUGGAGGGCAAUGGUGCACUGAAAAUACUCAACCUUUCUUGGAAUGGCAUUGGCAACGAGGGAGCACUGGCCCUAGGACAGGCUCUCAAAGUCAAUAAUGUGCUGGUUCACCUGGACAUCAGCAACAACCAGAUCAACAACGAGGGAGCCAAGAAGCUCUGCAGGGGCCUUGCAGUCAAUGGAACACUCAAAAUCCUGAAGAUGGCAAAUAAUCCCCUGACCGUGGAUGGUGCCAUUGAACUAGUCAUAUCUGUCAGAAAGAAUGCCCAAUCCAUGAUGGAGGAGAUCAACAUCUCAAAUGUGUUGGUAAACGAAACUUUCAUCAAGUUGCUGGAUUUGGUGUGUCAAACACGUCCUGAGCUACAUGUCACCUAUGGUCAUAUCGAAGGCUGUAUCACCAAGAUCCCCAAGCUACAUCCAAAUCCCAUGAAAGUGAUUCAGGUGAGCUACUGAAUUUGGGUCCACAGCUCCCCUGUACACAGUACACAU